CGCCGGCCUCCCAUCCCGGGCCCGCCAACCCCGCUCGGCGCGCGUCGGCCUAACGCUCUCCCCACCCAAUCUCUGUCCAGGCCCCGGGGGCUGAUCGCCCGUGCCAGCGGCUCUGGGAAGUCCAGAAAAGUAAACUCUCGGCGGUUAAAGCGUGUCCCCAGAUAGUGUGCACUCCGGAUCCUCCCAGCAUCGGGACUCCCAGACUGCGUGCCUGGGGCUAGGUUUUGAGCCUUGAGGCCGCGUUUAGGGGAUCAAAGCCGGGGUGAGGGGUCCAGUCCCGUGUCACAUGUAUAUGCUCGGGCCCUUGAUCGCAGGCUUAGGUCCAUGGUUAGGGGUUUGGGGGGUCCGGGCAGCGAUUAGGGGGUCUAGGGCGCAUCUCUUUGCCAGGGACAGCGGUUAUAGGUUCAGGGCCCUAGGAAUUCAGGCAACAAGUGCCUGCCAGAGCCUCGUUAACGCGGAGGCUCAGAGCCAGAACCUGGUUGUGGGGUGCAGCGGUCUGUGAGCGAGGGGUGACCAGCGUGUGUGCAGGGGGAGCAGAGGGGAGCUCCAGAGCCUCGUGGGUCCGUUCGGCUGGUUCUGAACCAGAGAAUCCCAUGGACAGAGGAGCCUGGCGGGCUACAUAGCCCAAGGGGUUGCAGAGUCCAACACGACUGAGCGACUGAGUACAUACCGGCACACAUGAAGUAUAUAAUUCACGCUCAGAGCAGGCCUGGGCAGGUGGCUGUCUACCAUCUCCACGCACAAAGAUGUUGGAAGAGACCAGGUGGGACUCCUCCCCUUCGAAGGCAGAUUAACCUUUGGCGCCAUCUAAGGGCCAGGGAGGACGGCAGCAGCGGCGGCUCUGGACCCAGUGAAUACUUUGAGUGUGCUGAGCUAUCAUGUAUAUACACCAGCUGGAGAGUGAUGGGAAGACUCUCAACAAAGAAAUAGAAUCAUGCAGGGCCACCCUGCUGAAGGCUGAGCCACGCCACUUGUGGGAUCUUAGUUCCCUGACCAGGGAUUGAACCUGCGCCCUUGGCUGAGUCCUAACCACUGAACCACCAGGGAAUUCCCCACCAAUCGUGCUGAAGUGUUCUCUUUUACCAUAUAUGUAUGUGUGUCCUUAAAUGAUGGAUGUGUUUGAAUGUAAAUAAAGGGUUAUCAUAUGUA
Bos taurus (domestic cattle) is the source of this 1149-nucleotide long non-coding RNA. NCBI's taxonomy places the organism in Eukaryota, Metazoa, Chordata, Mammalia, Artiodactyla, Bovidae. The record is from Ensembl.